Molecule: non-coding RNA, 792 nt
Filed under: Atta opaciceps
Lineage: Eukaryota; Metazoa; Arthropoda; Insecta; Hymenoptera; Formicidae
Source: RNAcentral
AAAAAAUUUAAUUUAUGUUUAGAAAUUUAUUUUAUAAUUGUUAGUAUAAAUAAAUUUUUAUAAAAUUAAAAAAUUUAAAUAAUUUUUUAAAAAUUAAUUUAUAUUUAUAAUGAAAUUAAUUAAGAAAUUAAAUUUAGUAAUUUAUAUAAAAAUAAUGAUAAAUUUUAGUGCCAGCAAUAGCGGUUAAACUAAAUGUUAUAAGUAAAUUUAAUUAAUUAGAAUUAAGAGAGGAUGGAAAUUGAUAAAUUUAAUAUUAAUAGUUUUUUAUAUGGUGAAAUAUGUAAUAAACUUAAAAUAUUAAGAUAUUAAAUAAUUUUGAUAUAAUAAAAUUAAAAAAAAAAACUAGGAUUAGAGACCCUAUUAUUAUGGAAUAAAGUAGGAUAAUUGGAAAAUAAAUGUAAAUCAUUAAAAUUUAAAUAAUUUGGCGGUAUUUUAAAAAGUUAGAGGAAUUUGUCUUAUAAAUGAUAAUCCACGAUAGGAAGGUCUUAAUAAAAAUUUUAUAUAUUGUUGUUUAAAAAUUAUUUUAGGAAAAUUAUAAUUAUAAAAUUUAAUAAAAAAUUUGAAUUCAAAUCAAAAUGUAGAAUUAUUAAGUAAAGAUGAGUUAUAUUUUAAUAUAUAAAAGAAUAUUUUAAAAGUUUUAAAUAUUUUGAAUAUAAAGGAUUUAAUAGUAAAUUUAAUAAAUUUGUUAGGUUGAAAAUUAAAUAAAAUAUGUACAAAUUGCCCGUCAUUUUCAUAAAUAAAUAGUUGAAAAAAGUCGUAACAAAGUAAAUGUACAGGAAUGUGUAUUUAGAU